UCCCUGGUAGCUCAGAUGGUAAAGAAUCUGUCUGCUGUGCAGGAGACUCAGGUUUGAUCCCUGAGUUGGGAA
Molecule: transfer RNA, 72 nt
Filed under: Bos taurus (domestic cattle)
Lineage: Eukaryota; Metazoa; Chordata; Mammalia; Artiodactyla; Bovidae
Also listed under: 5 other names
Rfam family: tRNA
About the family: Transfer RNA (tRNA) molecules are approximately 80 nucleotides in length.
Source: Rfam by way of RNAcentral